AGAUCACUACCUGUUUCCAAGUACUUUAAUAUAGAUCGACGAGCUAGGGCUUCCACUUCAAGUGUAGCUGUUAUGACCACUUUCUCAGCAUAAUUCGUGAUCACUCUUUGGCUGAGUUUCGACAUAUACCGAUGAUAGCUCCUUCCUUCUCCCCUUCAACUACCGAUUCGUUAAUGUUGAACUUCAACGCUCCGUUUUUUGGGGGAAUCCACAAAUCGGUUUUUAUGGAUGAAGAGCUGGCCAGCUACUAAAACCCAGCUACAGACUCAAGAGAACUAGAAUCCUCAGCAGCAAAAUACAUGUUAUCCCCAGCAAACUGAGGGGUACAACUCCGAGAACCCAGCUACCGAUGCCCUCAGAAAAACAACCCUGACGUGGAGAACUUCCUCAACUCAAGAAGAGAGAAUAGGAUAUCGAAAAUCAUUCUAGUGCCUUAUGUAGAUCUACUGUAGACUGCUUAAUGUAGUUAUGCUUCCUCAGCCGGCCUCAGAUGUGAUUGUUAACCAAACGAUUCUCCUGGAUGGGAAGCAUGAUUAUGUUUUUGGUGGAAUGCUGGCGAGUGAUUGAAGGGA
Rhodamnia argentea is the source of this 572-nucleotide long non-coding RNA. RefSeq lists it as uncharacterized. The transcript is spliced from 2 exons. NCBI's taxonomy places the organism in Eukaryota, Viridiplantae, Streptophyta, Magnoliopsida, Myrtales, Myrtaceae. The record is from RefSeq and is a predicted model, not a curated record.